This 1355-nucleotide ribosomal RNA is filed under the name Curtobacterium sp. Its description in RNAcentral is "bacterial SSU rRNA". The record is from RNAcentral. Lineage: Bacteria; Bacillati; Actinomycetota; Actinomycetes; Micrococcales; Microbacteriaceae.
AACAAGGCUUGCUGGGCGGAUUAGUGGCGAACGGGUGAGUAACACGUGAGUAACCUGCCCCUGACUCUGGGAUAAGCGUUGGAAACGACGUCUAAUACUGGAUAUGACUGCCGGCCGCAUGGUCUGGUGGUGGAAAGAUUUUUUGGUUGGGGAUGGACUCGCGGCCUAUCAGCUUGUUGGUGAGGUAAUGGCUCACCAAGGCGACGACGGGUAGCCGGCCUGAGAGGGUGACCGGCCACACUGGGACUGAGACACGGCCCAGACUCCUACGGGAGGCAGCAGUGGGGAAUAUUGCACAAUGGGCGAAAGCCUGAUGCAGCAACGCCGCGUGAGGGAUGACGGCCUUCGGGUUGUAAACCUCUUUUAGUAGGGAAGAAGGGAGCUUGCUCUUGACGGUACCUGCAGAAAAAGCACCGGCUAACUACGUGCCAGCAGCCGCGGUAAUACGUAGGGUGCAAGCGUUGUCCGGAAUUAUUGGGCGUAAAGAGCUCGUAGGCGGUUUGUCGCGUCUGCUGUGAAAUCCCGAGGCUCAACCUCGGGCUUGCAGUGGGUACGGGCAGACUAGAGUGCGGUAGGGGAGAUUGGAAUUCCUGGUGUAGCGGUGGAAUGSNGCAGAUAUCAGGAGGAACACCGAUGGCGAAGGCAGAUCUCUGGGCCGUAACUGACGCUGAGGAGCGAAAGCAUGGGGAGCGAACAGGAUUAGAUACCCUGGUAGUCCAUGCCGUAAACGUUGGGCGCUAGAUGUAGGGACCUUUCCACGGUUUCUGUGUCGUAGCUAACGCAUUAAGCGCCCCGCCUGGGGAGUACGGCCGCAAGGCUAAAACUCAAAGGAAUUGACGGGGGCCCGCACAAGCGGCGGAGCAUGCGGAUUAAUUCGAUGCAACGCGAAGAACCUUACCAAGGCUUGACAUACACCGGAAACGGCCAGAGAUGGUCGCCCCCUUGUGGUCGGUGUACAGGUGGUGCAUGGUUGUCGUCAGCUCGUGUCGUGAGAUGUUGGGUUAAGUCCCGCAACGAGCGCAACCCUCGUUCUAUGUUGCCAGCGCGUUAUGGCGGGGACUCAUAGGAGACUGCCGGGGUCAACUCGGAGGAAGGUGGGGAUGACGUCAAAUCAUCAUGCCCCUUAUGUCUUGGGCUUCACGCAUGCUACAAUGGCCGGUACAAAGGGCUGCGAUACCGUAAGGUGGAGCGAAUCCCAAAAAGCCGGUCUCAGUUCGGAUUGAGGUCUGCAACUCGACCUCAUGAAGUCGGAGUCGCUAGUAAUCGCAGAUCAGCAACGCUGCGGUGAAUACGUUCCCGGGCCUUGUACACACCGCCCGUCAAGUCAUGAAAGUCGGUAACACCCGAAGCCGGUG